UGUUGCCACCAAUCUUCUUAAAGACCUCAAACAGAGUUUAGAUUGGAGAAAGGAUUCCUCAUAGCACUAAAAUACCUCCCUGAAAUGUCUGAUCUAAGCCACAACCCUCUCAGACCGUCCGAUCACACAACACCCCCAAGAAAUGCCUGUGAAAUGCCUUCAAUCCAUCGUGGACCAUGAGAGACAUGAGGGAAAUGGGCUA
Molecule: long non-coding RNA, 202 nt
Filed under: Elaeis guineensis (African oil palm)
Lineage: Eukaryota; Viridiplantae; Streptophyta; Magnoliopsida; Arecales; Arecaceae
Description: long non-coding RNA (EGUI_LNC043209)
Source: RNAcentral